RNAcentral lists this ribosomal RNA (230 nucleotides) under uncultured bacterium. RNAcentral describes it as "partial 16S ribosomal RNA". It matches the Rfam family "Bacterial small subunit ribosomal RNA", at positions 29 to 245 of the family's 1533-position model. The record is from RNAcentral.
AACGAACGCUGGCGGCGUGGAUAAGACAUGCAAGUCGAACGGGACAACAUCUGUAGCAAUACAGGUGUUGUUUAGUGGCGAACGGGUGCGUAACACGUGGGCAAUCUGCCGAGAAGUGGGGAUAGCUCGCCGAAAGGCCGAAUUAAUACCGCAUACGAUCAGCUAAGACAUCUUAGCGACAUCAAAGCCGGGUAACCUGGCGCUACUCGAUGAGCCCGCGGCCUAUCAGC